This 605-nucleotide ribosomal RNA is filed under the name Xeromphalina campanella. Its description in RNAcentral is "eukaryotic LSU rRNA". It matches the Rfam family "Eukaryotic large subunit ribosomal RNA", at positions 1 to 603 of the family's 3401-position model. Lineage: Eukaryota; Fungi; Basidiomycota; Agaricomycetes; Agaricales; Mycenaceae. The record is from RNAcentral.
UUGACCUCAAAUCAGGUAGGACUACCCGCUGAACUUAAGCAUAUCAAUAAGCGGAGGAAAAGAAACUAACAAGGAUUCCCCUAGUAACUGCGAGUGAAGCGGGAAAAGCUCAAAUUUAAAAUCUGGCGGUCUUUGGCUGUCCGAGUUGUAAUUUAGAGAAGUGUUAUCCGCGCUGGACCGUGUACAAGUCUCCUGGAACGGAGCGUCAUAGAGGGUGAGAAUCCCGUCUUUGACACGGACCACCAGUGCUUUGUGAUGCGCUCUCGAAGAGUCGAGUUGUUUGGGAAUGCAGCUCAAAAUGGGUGGUAAAUUCCAUCUAAAGCUAAAUAUUGGCGAGAGACCGAUAGCGAACAAGUACCGUGAGGGAAAGAUGAAAAGAACUUUGGAAAGAGAGUUAAACAGUACGUGAAAUUGUUGAAAGGGAAACGCUUGAAGUCAGUCGCGUUGUCCGGGGAUCAACCUUGCAUUCGUGCUUGGCGUACUUCCCGGUCGACGGGUCAGCAUCAAUUUUGACCGCUGGAUAAAGGUCAGGGGAAUGUGGCAUCCUCGGAUGUGGAUGCGCUCUCAAAGAGUCGAGUUGUUUGGGAAUGCAGCUCUAAAUGGGU